AUAGAUGGCAACCCCCAGCAGUGUGAACCCUGAUGGCGAGCUCUGACUGAUUCCACAGAUGCUUCCUCCCACCGACACAGAUGACUGCUGAGGUGAAAACCAUGGAGAAGGAAGAUAUUCCGCAGAAGACUGAGCCGCCCCAUGAGAGGAGACGGCGCUACGCCUUGCAGAUCUUUAUAGUGUUCUCGGCUUCCAUCUCUUACUUUGUGAUGGGCAUGUCGCUGUCGUGGCCCAAUGUGGUGGAGUCGCACCACUUCGAAGACAACUCUACGCUGUUCGGCAACACGCUUUACCUCCACCCGUGGCAGAUGGACAUGCUCAACAGUUUGAUCAGCAUCGGGAGCGUGUUGGGUCUUCUGUUCGCCGGCUGGAUCGUUCGCAGACUGGGGCGCAAAAAGUCCCUCAUCGUGGCGGUGCUGCCGGGCCUGGUGGGCUGGGCUUUACUUGGCUUGGCUUACAACGCUUACCUGAUGCUGAUCGGCAGGUUUUUGGAUGGGAUAACGAGUGGUAUGGUGACCCUGACCGCAAUGACCUACGCCACGGAGAUUCCAGAUGCCGCCUUCCGUGGCACUAUCAGCACGAUAUGCUGCUUCAUGUUCCUCAUGGGAGCGUGUUUCUGCACGGCCAUUGGCAUUGCCCUCACGUGGUACUACGUUGCGCUGGGCAACAUGUGUGUGUUGCUGGUGUAUAUCUGCAUCGUCCCUUUCUUGCCAGAGAGUCCCACAUUCCUCGUCGUCACAGGACAGGAUGACAGAGCUAUUAAGGUCCUUGAGCGUCUCCGAGGAACAUACGCAGACAUUACAAAUGAAAUAAAGCUCCUGAAGAAGAUGAAUGAUGAAAUCACUUCGGACACGAGUUGGGGUUUUCUCCUACAGAAGAAAGUACAGAAACGCAUCUUAGUACUAUCCAUCCUGUUCCUAGUGCAAGCCUACAGCGGCACGGCGGUCCUGCGAGCCAACGCCGUCAGAAUCCUGCAGGACUCUGGAGUGACUACGAACAAAAGUAUGGUCGCAACCCUCCUGCUGCUGCUGCCCAUCGCAGGAGCCUUCGUGCUGUGUCAUCUGGUGGACCGCGCGGGGCGCAAGGUGUGCUUGGCGAUAUCGCUCACGCUCAUGUCCAUAUCCUACAUUUUUCUUGGCACGAGAGUCUACCUACAGAAGUCCACAGUUGUGUCACUGAUUCCCCUCGAGCCGAAUAACACUGCAGCGCUACCGCCUUACUUCACGACGGAAAGUGACAGUGGAGAGGACACUUGGUGGUUAACUGUGGUCGGCCUCAUCGUGUGCAUCUUCUCCAUGAACAUCGGCAUCGAGUCCCUCCCAUGGCAGCUCUCCUCCGAGUACUUCCCCACCGUCAUCCGCUCACAGGUAACGUACUACUCUUCCCGAGAACGGCUUUCACGUGGCGGUGUUGCGAACUUGCGGUGUGUAGGUGGAUGAUGUGGCCCCAGUGGUGGAUGCAGCGGGAUGAUGGUGUGUGUGUGUGUGUGUGUGUGUGUGUGUGUGUGUGUGUGUGUGUGUGUGUGUGUGUGUGUGUGUGUGUGUGUGUGUGUGUGUGUGUGUGUGUGUGUGUGUGUGUGUGUGUGUGUGUGUGUG
This 1595-nucleotide unclassified non-coding RNA is filed under the name Portunus trituberculatus (swimming crab). Its description in RNAcentral is "facilitated trehalose transporter Tret1-like, transcript variant X2". Lineage: Eukaryota; Metazoa; Arthropoda; Malacostraca; Decapoda; Portunidae. The record is from RNAcentral.